AGAGUUUGAUCCUGGCUCAGAGCGAACGCUGGCGGCAGGCCUAACACAUGCAAGUCGAACGAACUCUUCGGAGUUAGUGGCGGACGGGUGAGUAACACGUGGGAACGUGCCUUUAGGUUCGGAAUAGCUCCUGGAAACGGGUGGUAAUGCCGAAUGUGCCCUUCGGGGGAAAGAUUUAUCGCCUUUAGAGCGGCCCGCGUCUGAUUAGCUAGUUGGUGAGGUAAAGGCUCACCAAGGCUACGAUCAGUAGCUGGUCUGAGAGGAUGACCAGCCACAUUGGGACUGAGACACGGCCCAAACUCCUACGGGGGGCAGCAGUGGGGAAUCUUGCGCAAUGGGCGAAAGCCUGACGCAGCCAUGCCGCGUGGAUGAUGAAGGUCUUAGGAUUGUAAAAUCCUUUCACCGGUGAAGAUAA
RNAcentral lists this ribosomal RNA (415 nucleotides) under uncultured bacterium. Its description in RNAcentral is "bacterial SSU rRNA". It matches the Rfam family "Bacterial small subunit ribosomal RNA", at positions 8 to 451 of the family's 1533-position model. The record is from RNAcentral.